Molecule: long non-coding RNA, 4325 nt
Organism: Acanthochromis polyacanthus (spiny chromis)
Lineage: Eukaryota; Metazoa; Chordata; Actinopteri; Pomacentridae
Exons: 3
Source: RefSeq, a predicted model, not a curated record
AUGAAAAUCGGCAGAGCAUUUUCUGCUUAUGAGAAGUGCUGGGCAAGCAGAUGCAGGGUGAGUGGAAUGGAAGACUAGUCAAGAUGUUGGCGCUCAUCUCAGCAGUCUGCACACAAGUCCUCGGAGACCAAAGUGAUGCAUUCUGUGGUGGAGUUUGGAGCUAAAAGUUGGAAUAGAGCUGUGCAGAAGCUGCAGCAGCAUGUAAGGCAUCAGAAGUUGUCAAGAAAUGCAACACGACAUCACAGGGAAGAUGCAGCAGAAGAAAUCUGAAAACAGUACCAGUGUGUUUCUCCUUUAAGAUAGAAACACAAUAUCCACUUUUCUUGAUGCAUCUAGGCCGAAGGAAGUUGGAGACGACCGCAAAGGAGACCCGAUAAAGUGCAUUGUGUUCUGCAUCCUGAUUGGCUAAGGGACUGACCAACGUGAACAGUCUCCGCGCCUCGUCUCCUCUGCCAUACAGGCCAGCGCUGCCUGCUGUGGAGUGCUGGAUCAUUUCUCUCCUUGGUCUCCAUGUAGUGAGACACCCUGAACGACGGAGCCGACGGAGCAGCCUUAUUCUUUUCCCCCACCGUCAACCGGACAGUGGACGUGGUCCCCAGCCGUCUCUGGCCACCGCAGCCGCGUCCCCCAGGAGAAGAGCACUGGCACGAGCCUUCCCCACCCCCGACCCCUCCAAUUGAUUCAGCCGGCCCGCUCUCUGAGGCAAGAGUACCGCCACGGCGUCCACCUGGCUGCAGCUGCAGCGCUCCCCUAAGUGCAGUAUUGUAUAAUAAGGUAAAUAAAAAAGCUGACUACUUCACGGAUUUCACCUAUUGCGGGUUCUUUUUGGAACGUAACCCCCGCGAUAAACGAGGGUUCACUGUAUAUUCACCUAAACAUGGCUUGUCAUAUCAACGUCUGUGUAGAUUGGCAAUGUUGAAAUUGAAAUCCUUGUUUAGAAGCCUUAACAUUUAAAAUUCUGACACGUGAGCUUGACAAGUCUUUCUUGUACAGGAUCUAUAGUAUGCAUCAGUGGGCAUCGCAGAAUUGAAACAAAAAAUUAUGAAGCAAUCAGUGAACAUUGUUAAUAUGGGUUUCAGCGAAUAAUGUCUGAUGUUGGUCAAAUUCAGAUUCACAGUUACAUAGUGAGAGAUGUAUAGUGCUAUACACUGAAGUGUGUAAAUUGACAUGAAGACAUAAAGACAAACACUAAACAUUACCAUUACUAAAGAAAAUUAAUUUUGUCCCCAGUAUGAUUGAAUGUAGCACAAGUUUUAUAUCUGUAUACUUGCGUCGAUGUUGGGCAAAUGGAACAUUACAUCCUUAGCUGCUGUCUUUUGCAGGACAAAGACAAUGCACACAUUAAAUGUCAAACUUUCACAUGUCGAAGUAAUAGUAGCCAAUAAGAUGUACUGUACAGCGAGACAGUACAUUUUUAGCUGUUUUUAGUUAUUUGGAACCUCGGAUAUAUCACCAUUAGGUCGAUUGCAGUGCUUAGGAAGUCCAAGUAAAGAUAGUACUGACUUUUCCAUACAAAGAAAAUGUCCAUUCACAUACUUGUCUAUGUGUAUGGCAGUUAUGAAUAGCAUUUGUCAUGAAUGAAGUGACAUUUUAUCAUUAUGGACUAUGCAACUCAAGGCUCUCCCACCUUUUACUACUGUAAAGCAUUAACUGCUUUGUAAAUGUGUAUAUUUAAUGUUUACUUAUAUCAUGCCCCAAGGGGUAGGAAAUGAACCUGGGCCUUGUGAAGAGUUUUGAAAAAAUCACGUAAUUGCUUUGUCUGACUAAACAGUUUAAUAUGAGCACCACUGAGGGCAAGUCUACAGAGAGAGCCUGUUUAAUAUGCACCAUGGCAGCUUCACCUCUUGCAGCGCAAAGGAAAUAAUCAUCUCUGGCACUGUAGACAUAUAUGUGCUGCAAUCUAUGCUCCGUGGAUAUUGUAAUAUGUUUAUUACUAAGCAAGCAAAAUGCCUCUCAUUAUUUCACAAACAUCACCUAGAGAGUUUACCUUGAACACAGCACUGGGGUUGCAUUCAUCUCCACAACACUGGAUCAGGUUUCCUUGUAAUAAUAAAAAAAAAACAUUUCUCAUUGUAUUUUCUCUUGUGAGAUCUUUUCCUGUUAUUACCCAUAAUAUCAGGACCCUUUUUCAUUGAUCUUCUCUUAAUAUGCUCGGAUCUGCUGCUGUUAUAUUGAGCGAUUUUCUCAUCAGAUUCUCUUUUUCAGUUACGCCCAGAGCAAAACAAAUAAAAACAUAUUUUCAUCACUCUUGAACAAUACCAGAAAACCACGCAAAAAAUGAGCAAGAUGAACUUUAUUGAAAUAAAAGAAAAACAAUUCAGGUUAGCAAGAUAGUCAUCAAAACACUUUGCUAAGAUCUCCACAUGAGUUAUAAUAGUGCAACUUAAUGUCCACCAAAGACAUUACUUGCUUAGGUAACUUUCCCACUCCGCCACACUUGAAUCUUAUAUUUCUCCGUAAGGCCUUUACUUGUCACACAUACCAUAUACAUGUGAAUUUUUCUGUGGAGUUGUAUGUGAUUUAUUGUGAGUGACCCAGUCAACUAUUGACCCUUUACAUUUAACAUUUUUUCUUUCUUUUUCCUAUUUAUUUAUUUGCUUGCUGGAUUGCUUGCAUUUGGUUACUGAAAAAAUACACUGUCCUGAAUAAUUACUCUGUCAAGGAAUGUGGUGAAGUUAUGUGAUGAUCAAUUUAUGUUUGUCCGUGUACAACAUUACUCAAAAACAGAAUAAUGGGUUCGGAUGAAAUUUUCAGGGAAGGUCAGAAAUGAUACAAGGACCAAGUGAUUAGAUUUUGGCGGUGAUGCAGCUUAUAGCCUGGAUCCAUGGAUUUGUUAAAGAUUUCUGUAUCAUUGUGAGGUAGCGGCACAGCGUCACUGUAAAUAUUACACCAGUGAACACUACCUCAGCUGCCUGCUGACGAUCACAUGAUUGCAAUCCUACUACAAAUCUACCGCUCUGGACUUAUCUGGACUUAACCAUUAGAAAUGAUACAAGGAACAACUGAUUAAAUUGUGGAGGUGUUUCCGAGUCCCAUCAAUUCCCGCCUCCUGCUACAUAUUUCGGUAUAUAACAUUCACAUGCAGAACACACGCCUGUGCUCAGCCAAGUCAUUUUGUUUGUGGGUACAUCUGUAUUAAAUGGACACAUUCUGUGUUGCUGUGAUUUCUGAUCAUCAAUCACUAAUAAACACAAAACUACUGAUACUAAUAAAACUAAUAAAUACAAAAAUGUGCUGCAUUUCUGACAACGCCUUAUGGGGGGCUCAACAACCUUGGUGGAGUACUGCGCUCUCUAAGGGUUUUUCGAGGUAAACUUUUUUAGGAGCAACUACUCUUAUAGGACCUUUACAAAAUGAAGUCAGUAAAUUAUCCAAAGCAACACGGGGACUGUUGCUGAUUUCUUACGUCUUCUUAUUUUUUUGUAAGUUUAGAACACUGCAAGCAAAAUUCAAUUCAGCUCCUCUGUAUUGGGUAGGUACAUAAAUCUCAUACAGUAAUACAAAGACAAAUGAAACCAAAAGUGAUUUGUGAAGUGGGUGAACUGUCCAGAAUUUUAAAAUGCUUUACAGUUAGGCACCGACGACAAAACAGGCUUUGUUACAGGAGAACUUUUGGAAAAAUGUAGAAAACAAAAGUAGCACUACAUUUUGCGCAGCAUUUCAGCUUCUUUCAUUAAUUUCAUGCAUUGCACUCUGUAAAAACAAUGAAAUUUGCUUGAGUUUUGAAUAUGUCUGAUCAAGGUAAGGUCUGACUGCUCCAGUUUUGCCUCAGAUGCCAGUCACCAGUCCUACAUUUAGUAUUAACUUAUCAUUAUGUGACAACCACAAUGAUGUCACUGUGACAGGUGUUUCAGCUUCAGCAUUGUGACUCACUGAACAGCAGAUUCAGUAGAUUUUAGGACAUGUGAAGGCUUUCAGUACUGUAUUUAAGGAUUUAGCACUCACCUGAAGCACGAGGCUACCUAAUUUUACAUGAGCUGCUAGCUUCAAAAGACAGGAAAAGAACUGUGUUGUCUGCUGCAGCCUUGUAGUAGUGGUUGUGUAAUUUCAGACAGUCAUAGUUCCAGCACAGUGUUGGACUGGGGAUGGAUGGAUGGAUGGAUCGGUUGGAUGGAUUACAAAGACUUUUUGCAGAGACAUUUCUGGUCUUCAGAUGAUGAGCCAUCCCUAACCCUUAGAUGAAUAUGUGGUUCAAAAAUGACUCGGUGAGGUCAUUUUCUUGUAAUAUCUUUGGAAUGAAAAGUUAUUUCACAUUCCAGGUAUUCUUCAAAAACAUGCUUUUGAUAUCAUUCCAUUUAAAUUAAAGUUACCUUUUUAAGAAGCUA